AGGCCUAAUACAUGCAAGUCGAACGGUAACAUUGGUGCUUGCACCAGAUGACGAGUGGCGCACGGGUGCGUAACGCGUAUGCAACCUACCUUUUACUAGAGUAUAGCCCAGAGAAAUUUGGAUUAAUCCUCUAUAACAUCUUUUAAUUUCAUGAUUUUAAGAUUAAAGUUUUAACGGUAAAAGAUGGGCAUGCGUCCUAUUAGUUUGUAGGUGAGGUAACGGCUCACCUAGACUACGAUAGGUAGGGGCCCUGAGAGGGGGAUCCCCCACACUGGUACUGAGACACGGACCAGACUCCUACGGGAGGCAGCAGUAAGGAAUAUUGGACAAUGGACGAAAGUCUGAUCCAGCCAUGCCGCGUGCAGGAUGACAGCCCUACGGGUUGUAAACUGCUUUUAUACAGGAAGAAACACUCCGACGUGUCGGAGCUUGACGGUACUGUAAGAAUAAGGAUCGGCUAA
This 461-nucleotide ribosomal RNA is filed under the name uncultured Flavobacteriaceae bacterium. Its description in RNAcentral is "bacterial SSU rRNA". It matches the Rfam family "Bacterial small subunit ribosomal RNA", at positions 44 to 500 of the family's 1533-position model. The record is from RNAcentral. Lineage: Bacteria; Pseudomonadati; Bacteroidota; Flavobacteriia; Flavobacteriales; Flavobacteriaceae.